Ochotona curzoniae (black-lipped pika) is the source of this 235-nucleotide long non-coding RNA. RefSeq lists it as uncharacterized. The transcript is spliced from 3 exons. The record is from RefSeq and is a predicted model, not a curated record. NCBI's taxonomy places the organism in Eukaryota, Metazoa, Chordata, Mammalia, Lagomorpha, Ochotonidae.
GUUGGAUGGUGAGCCACCCAGGACUUGGAAACAAGAAAAACAUCCCUACUAGGUUUAUGCUUGAUGUUUUAGCAAGGCUGCCUCACAGAUGAUGCUGGAUGUUUCACGUUCCUAACUGGUGCCUGGCUUUCUCAUCCCAGAGCACUUGGAGAUGAAGUCCAGCAUCAACACAGCUCCGCAAAGCCUGCGCCGUCAGAUCCCAGCUGCCGCUUGCCUUCGGACCUCUGCUUAGUUC